Molecule: long non-coding RNA, 1310 nt
Filed under: Homo sapiens (human)
Lineage: Eukaryota; Metazoa; Chordata; Mammalia; Primates; Hominidae
Description: HSALNT0332709
Source: RNAcentral
CUGACAGCUUUUGUUUUUACUGCAAGGUCUUGUUCCACCUUCUUCCCACGGGUCCAGGCAGUUGUUCUUCUAGUCUACACUGUCUCUUGUAGCUUGUUUGUCAUCUGGAGGGAAUAGGUUGGAAAUCUUGUAUUUGGGUAUCUAUUCUCAUACAGGGAGGAAAUACAGGCAAUUAGGUUAAAGUCAUAGGCACCAUGUAGAGGGCUGGGCUGGAAGGAAGUCAAGCUCUAAGUGUUGACUGUGUGGGAGGAGCUGUGAACAUGAGGAUGUGAACCUGAGUAAGACGGAUCUCUACCCAAAGGAGCAUGGUCUAAUAAACAGAGAAGGCUCAGGAGGGUCAGAAACACGGUGCCUCAUUUCUCAGCCUACUUGCCAAGAAUUCCCAAAAAGGAAGCACUGGAGGAUCAUUCCAAGGCUUGAGGUCCAGGACUACCCACUUCCCUUGGAAUGGUGUUGCCAUCACUGUUCUGGCACCGGAGAAAGGAUUCUACAUCGUUAGGAGAAAAGAAAAAGGAGAAUUUGGGCUUGCACUGAGAGGAUUACCUUUGGUGGUCUGGAAGUGGUGGGGUUGCAGCAUUGAAGGCACCAUCUUGGAAGCAGAGACUAGACCCUCACCAAGCAAUUAACAUGCUGGUGCAUUGAUCUUGGACUUUCCAGCCUCCAGAACUGUGAGAAAUAAAUUUCUGUUCUUAAUUAAUUACCCAGUCCCAGGUAUUCUGUUAUAGCAGCACAAAGCUUAGACGGGCUCCUUACAUCUUGAGGCUCCAUUAUCUCCUGGGAACUGGGAGUCCUUAGGUUCUAGCCAUGGAAAGAGAAACAAAAGAUGGAGAAGGCACACAUGCUUCUUAAUGGUCGUGGUUCAGAAGUAACAAAUACUAAUUCUAUAUAUUCUACUGGCUCAACACAAAUGCAGGGGUGUGCUGGGAAUGGAGUCUCUGAUUGGGCAGCAGGGAUCAGGGAUCAAAGAUCAGGAAAUAUUCCAGGGUGAAUAUUUUACUAGGUGAGGAGGACCAUGAAUUUUGACAAACAGCCUUUGCUGCUCUACCCACUCCUCAUCAUCACUGUUAGACACAAAGAGAAAUGGCAGCACUUUUUGUCCAUUGAUUGUAACUCUUUCUUUAAAGACUUUUAAGGCAGAAUCUCAAUUCAUCUCUUCUAUGAAACUUUCAUGAUUCAAAGGGAAGUCCCUGCAUGGACACUGCCAGCUUCAUUGCACUUCUGCCUCUAUGCUUUUUCCUGAACCUUCUCCACCUCUGGAACGUACUUCAGGCUGCACAGGGAGCAUGGCUGGGAGGCCUCAGGAAACUGAC